RNAcentral lists this long non-coding RNA (3228 nucleotides) under Capsicum annuum. RNAcentral's name for it is "long non-coding RNA (CANN_LNC004708)". The record is from RNAcentral. Lineage: Eukaryota; Viridiplantae; Streptophyta; Magnoliopsida; Solanales; Solanaceae.
GCACAUAUACAUUGAAUGGUGCAUAUAUAUGUAUAAUUGUAUAUAUGUGUAUAUAUUUUUUAAAUUCUAAUGUAGUAUAUACUAUAUAUAUAGUGUGUGUAUAUUGUUUAACGUAUUUAAAAUGUAUAUAGGUGGGUAUAUAUAGUGUAUAUUGAAAUUUUUUUUUUUCAUUUUUGAUCGGGUUUGACCGGGUUUAGGUGAGUUUGAUCGGGUUGGGUUAAGUGGGUCAGGUUAGGAUUGUUUUUAAAAAAAUUACUGUUGAGCCCGGCCCGGCUCACCUUACCCAAUCCAGACCCCGCCCACAAUCCGACUUACUUUAACAGGCCGGUUCCAGGUUGUCCCGGGCCGGCCCACCUGACAACCUUAUUACCUUCAUCAUAUCCUCUCUCUCUUCCUCCACAGUGUCCGUUAUCGGACUUCUAAUUACAUAAUUAUGUGAAUAAAAGUAAAUAUUAUGGAAUAAAUACUGCCAAUAAAUUAAUAAGACAGAGAUGUUCAAAUAAUUUAAUCCAGAAAGUACCACCUAACUAUGUCCAUUGAGGUCAUUAUAAAAACAUCAGGAUUGGCGUAUUUGACGUGCCCCUUGGGUUUAUAACCAAACAGAAAAGGAGGAGUCGUGUUUUGGUGUUGGAUCUGUUAUAAUCUAUUAUCUUAUCAUAUUGCCUCACACAAUGACUACCAAACAAAGCAUGUAGGAAACCCAUUACUUCAGGUCUCAUUGUUCUUCUGUUGGAGCUUCAAAGUAUCCCACGUUUUUUAUAUUUAAGGUGGGCCGCCAAUUCCAAAGCUUAGAAUUUGUAAGACGAUUAGACGAACCAUCAACUAUGUUGCUAUAUUCAUCAUAUCAAUAUACUAAUAAAAUGUAACAUCUAACAAUAGUAAUUAAUGAUUGAGUAGCAUGACGUAUAUAUAAUUAUUUUUGACUAUCAAUAGAAGAAUAAUGUAGUAUUUUUAUUUGAUGUAUGACUUAAAUGUCAAAUUUCAAUAUAUGAUCACUUAAUUAUGUAUGCAUAUCAAAUUAAAAUCGGCCAUUAAAUAAUCUAAUUAAGAAAUUCUUUUCUUCUUUCAUUCAUUUGCUCUAGACAAAGGUUUAGCUAAUUGUUUACAAUUAAUGAUAAUAUUGAGCUUAAACUCAUUAUCAACAGUUGAUAGACUUCAUUUUUUAUCAAUCACUAAAUCUACAUGUAUUUAAAUUCACCAAUAUUCUUUCAACCUUUUCAUGGGGCCCACGAGUGUCUGAUAUCAAAUUAAAGUACAACAAAUUAAAUAACUAGUCAAUUACUAUCAAUCUAAGGUGGAAGGAAACUCUUACAUCAUAUUCUAAUUCAAGAUAAUAUAUAAUAACGCUAUUAAUGGUAAUUCUAACUAUUAAAAAUUAUCCAAUGAAUUGGCUCGAUAAAAUCAUAUAUCUAUAUGCAUCAUCUAUAUAUGUGAUUUAGUUAAUGAAAUCAGCUAAUCCAUAUCUCACAAAGUUCACCAUAAAUAUGUAUAUAUGAUCUACAAGAAAGGUGUCUCUCUCAUUAACAUCAUGAUUUCUCCAUCAUCAUGUCAAUAUUAUCUGAAAACUUAAUAAAAAAUCUUAUCAUAUUUUAAUCAAACUAUUGAUAAUAAUCAUAAUAAAAAAAUAUUAAAUGUCAUACUUAUAACAAAUAACAUUACAUAAAUAUGUUCAAAUCACCGUAUAUAAAAUAGAAUCUAGCUAGGACGUAUCAACUAUAUCCCGAACCGCAACUUACGUAUCCCGCAUAUAUAAUUAGUGGCAGCAUUGGCGAUUUCUCAUUCCCUAUUUUUAUUUAACAAAUUUAAAUUUUUAUUGGUGUCGAUAUCAUUUUCAAACAUUAAAUCUUUAUUUUCAACUACAGUUAAACGAACAAAUUUCAAACUUUGUACAGUUUGAUUCUUGACAAUCUCUUUUAAAAGCCUAGUAUAGUGGUAGGUCAUAAUUCCACCGGUUAAUGCCUAUAGACGCAGCUAAAUAGCCUACUUCGACGUGUUAUUUUCUUUCUUUUUAGUACACUAACAUGUUUGAUUUCCGUUCUGUAAAAAUGUAAAUGUUAAUAAUCCGAUUAGUCUACAUCUUCUAGUGUUUUGCUGCUCAUUCUCAUAAUAUUCCUGUACUUUAAUUAGUUCUUUCCAAUAAAUCCAUAUGAAUGUUAUAUAUAUAUAUAUAUAUAUAUAUAUAUACACAAUAAAAUGAAGCUGUUCGCAAACAGGAUGUGCAUGCGAAAUUUUUAUUCACUUUAUUAGUGAAAUAAAUUAAUCAGUGAAAUAACCAUUAUCAUACCAACAGUAUGGAUCACCAUCACUAGUCAUGUAUAGACCAUUGUUCCUGAACAAGAUGAUCUAUAAUUUUUUAAAGAUUUUUUCUUGUAAAUCUUUAUUUAAUUUUAUUACUUUUUAAAUAGUAAUUAAUGUUUUUUCAUUUAAGAAAAUAGUAUAAUAACUCAUUAGGCAAUAUAAAGUAUGUAUUUCUUUAACUUAGCCUUAGAUUCUUUUAACAGAUAAACCUGUGUAUUUUUUAAAGCUUGAUCUCUAUCUUGUGCUCUAAGUAGUAGCUUCUCUACUUCGUUAAUUCUCGAUUUCACAAGAUUAUUUGAAGUAUUCUUUCUUAAAAAAUAGAUUUCUCUACCAUAGUUUCUCAAAUUUAUUAAAACUUCAUUAAUUCUUCUUAUAAUUAUUAUGGUUUCCCAAAAUUUUCUUCUAAGUUUCUGUAAUUGUGGUUGUAUCACUCUCAUGAUAAUAAAUAUAAACAAUUCAUAAUUUUAUAUUCCCUAUAGGUACUUAGUAAUAUAUAAUAUGUAUGAAGGUAUAGAGCAGAUAUGAAAACAGACUUUUCUUACGCUAAUAUGUUAUGAAAUGGUAGAGUUUAUGCAUAUACCUUUUGACCUUCUUUUAUGUUAGUUGUAUCAACACCACAGUGCUUCUCCUUCCGGCUAUGAAGAACUUUUUAAUCUAUUGUGACUCGCGGUCUCAGGCUACUGCUCCGUCUUUCCUCCGUUAAGGCUGAAGAUCGCAACCUUCAUUUUUUACCAGCAUAAAAGAUUUGCAAAGAAUAUAUGAAACAAACUUUUUAUUUCUUGAACAUAUUACAACAUAGAAAAAAUCUUUAAUCAGAUCUUCCUUAUACUUACAUACACACUAUUUAUUAUCUUUUCCUGAUGGGAGAGGUGUCUCUUACCCACUCAUGUAGAAGAUACCCAGCAUUUUUUUAAGAAAGAGAAUAUUAAG